GACGAACGCUGGCGGCGUGCCUAAUACAUGCAAGUAGAACGCUGAAGGAGGAGCUUGCUUCUCUGGAUGAGUUGCGAACGGGUGAGUAACGCGUAGGUAACCUACCUGGUAGCGGGGGAUAACUAUUGGAAACGAUAGCUAAUACCGCAUAAGAGUAGAUGUUGCAUGACAUUUGCUUAAAAGGUGCAAUUGCAUCACUACCAGAUGGACCUGCGUUGUAUUAGCUAGUUGGUGAGGUAACGGCUCACCAAGGCGACGAUACAUAGCCGACCUGAGAGGGUGAUCGGCCACACUGGGACUGAGACACGGCCCAGACUCCUACGGGAGGCAGCAGUAGGGAAUCUUCGGCAAUAGACGGAAGUCUGACCGAGCAACGCCGCGUGAGUGAAGAAGGUUUUCGGAUCGUAAAGCUCUGUUGUAAGAGAAGAACGAGUGUGAGAGUGGAAAGUUCACACUGUGACGGUAUCUUACCAGAAAGGGACGGCUAACUACGUG
RNAcentral lists this ribosomal RNA (495 nucleotides) under uncultured bacterium. Its description in RNAcentral is "partial 16S ribosomal RNA". It matches the Rfam family "Bacterial small subunit ribosomal RNA", at positions 28 to 507 of the family's 1533-position model. The record is from RNAcentral.